RNAcentral lists this ribosomal RNA (694 nucleotides) under uncultured bacterium. RNAcentral's name for it is "bacterial SSU rRNA". It matches the Rfam family "Bacterial small subunit ribosomal RNA", at positions 32 to 715 of the family's 1533-position model. The record is from RNAcentral.
AACGCUAGCUACAGGCUUAACACAUGCAAGUCGAGGGGUACCAUAGUCAAAGCUUGCUUUGACUGAUGACGACCGGCGGAUGGGUGAGUAACACGUAUCCAACCUACCGUAUACACGGGGAUAGCCUUUCGAAAGAAAGAUUAAUACCCGAUGGUGUAAAGAGAUCCCCUGAUUUUUUUACUAAAGAUUUAUCGGUAUACGAUGGGGAUGCGUUCCAUUAGAUCGUUGGUAGGGUAACGGCCUACCAAGUCAACGAUGGAUAGGGGUUCUGAGAGGAAGAUCCCCCACAUUGGAACUGAGACACGGUCCAAACUCCUACGGGAGGCAGCAGUGAGGAAUCUUGGUCAAUGGGCGCAAGGCCUGAACCAGCCAAGUAGCGUGAAGGACGACGGCCCUAGGGGUUGUAAACUUCUUUUAUAAGGGAAUAAAGUUCGCCACGCGUGGUGUUUUGUAUGUACCUUAUGAAUAAGCAUCGGCUAAUUCCGUGCCAGCAGCCGCGGUAAUACGGAAGAUGCGAGCGUUAUCCGGAUUUAUUGGGUUUAAAGGGAGCGUAGGCGGGCUUUUAAGUCAGCGGUCAAAUGCCACGGCUCAACCGUGGCCAGCCGUUGAAACUGUAAGCCUUGAGUCUGCACAGGGCACAUGGAAUUCGUGGUGUAGCGGUGAAAUGCUUAGAUAUCACGAAGAACUCCGAUUG